RNAcentral lists this transfer RNA (72 nucleotides) under Monodelphis domestica (gray short-tailed opossum). It matches the Rfam family "tRNA". From Rfam's summary of the family: Transfer RNA (tRNA) molecules are approximately 80 nucleotides in length. Their secondary structure includes four short double-helical elements and three loops (D, anti-codon, and T loops). Lineage: Eukaryota; Metazoa; Chordata; Mammalia; Didelphimorphia; Didelphidae. The record is from Rfam by way of RNAcentral.
AGCAGUGUAGUUUAGUGGGUAGAGUGCUGGCUUGAAGCCAGGAAAAUCUGGGUUCAAAUCCUACCUCUGAUA